GCAUUUUCAACUGCGCCAAUAGUUUGAGUUGCAUUUGAUGAUGUAUCAUCAUGUCUUGGCACGAGAGGAGUUGAGGGGACUACACGAUAGACAUUCCCUACGCAAUCCAUCUGUUUUAGGCUUUCAUCUUUGAUCAGUGUUGGCACUGAAUGUGAGCGAAGUACGGGAUGCACUCCUGCUUUAACUGAAUAAAAUGUAGCAUCUCUGUAGUCACCAUGCGUUGAUUCUGGAUUAGAGUGUUCAAUUGGAGUUAUAGGCAAUGAUGAAGUUCUGUUCAUCUUUGAAUUGAAAAUUCUUUUAAUGGAUAGAGUCCUCAAAAUUGAAGGUUUGUCCUGAGGCAAAGGAGAGACUCCAAGAGCUAACAUUGCAGCUUUUUCAAUAUCACUCGUCUUAUUUCGUAAUUUGAAACUUAUUUUAGGGAGGAGAGAUUUAAUGGAUGAUUUUGCCCACGGUAAUGAGGGACUAGGAGAUUCGUUUAGUCUGACAUGGUUAGGACUGGGCGAUGGCGAGAAAAUCACUCUCUUGGGAGUUUGAACUGGUGAUGUGGACAUGUCUAUCCUAACAAAAUCUUCUGUUUGUCCAUCAAUGGUUCUUUCAGGUACUUCCAGAGGUAGUUGUUUCGUCUGCAGUUCGCAGAGUUGUAGUUCCUCUACAAUUUCACUUGAUUCACCAACCUUUUCAACAAGAAGAGGAGGAGGAUCAACUCUGGAAUUAAGAUUGUUUGUACAGUUUUUUCCAUCCUCUUCAGCUAAAGACCUCU
This 760-nucleotide unclassified non-coding RNA is filed under the name Hevea brasiliensis (rubber tree). Lineage: Eukaryota; Viridiplantae; Streptophyta; Magnoliopsida; Malpighiales; Euphorbiaceae. The record is from RNAcentral.